CAGCAGCCACGGGAAUACAGAGGGUGCAAGCGUUAAUCGGAUUUACUGGGCGUAAAGGGCGCGUAGGUGGUUAUGUAAGUGAGAUGUGAAAUCCCCGGGCUCAACCUGGGAACUGCAUCUUAUACUGCGUAGCUGGAGUGCAGUAGAGGGUAGUGGAAUUUCCGGUGUAGCGGUGAAAUGCGUAGGUAUCGGAAGGAACACCAGUGGCGAAGGCGGCUACCUGGACUGACACUGACACUGAGGCGCGAAAGCGUGGGGAGCAAACAGGAUUAGAUACCCCUGUAGUCCCUGUCUCUUAUAC
This 301-nucleotide ribosomal RNA is filed under the name uncultured bacterium. RNAcentral's name for it is "partial 16S ribosomal RNA". It matches the Rfam family "Bacterial small subunit ribosomal RNA", at positions 509 to 807 of the family's 1533-position model. The record is from RNAcentral.